GAUCAGUGGCUCGAGGACGAACGCUGGCGGCGUGCCUAACACAUGCAAGUCGAACGGGGACUCAGCCUUCGGGACUGAGUUUAGUGGCGAACGGGUGAGUAACGCGUGAGGAACCUGCCUUUCAGUGGGGGACAACAGUUGGAAACGACUGCUAAUACCGCAUAAUGCUUUUUGAUGGCAUCAUUGAAAAGCCAAAGAUUUAUUGCUGAAAGAUGGCCUCGCGUCUGAUUAGCUAGUUGGUGGGGUAACGGCCCACCAAGGCGACGAUCAGUAGCCGGUCUGAGAGGAUGAACGGCCACAUUGGGACUGAGAUACGGCCCAGACUCCUACGGGAGGCAGCAGUGGGGAAUAUUGGGCAAUGGGGGAAACCCUGACCCAGCAACGCCGCGUGAAGGAAGAAGGCCUUCGGGUUGUAAACUUCUUUACCAGGGACGAAAAAAGUGACGGUACCUGGAGAAAAAGCAACGGCUAACUACGUG
This 479-nucleotide ribosomal RNA is filed under the name uncultured bacterium. RNAcentral's name for it is "bacterial SSU rRNA". It matches the Rfam family "Bacterial small subunit ribosomal RNA", at positions 26 to 507 of the family's 1533-position model. The record is from RNAcentral.